Molecule: long non-coding RNA, 1372 nt
Organism: Sipha flava (yellow sugarcane aphid)
Lineage: Eukaryota; Metazoa; Arthropoda; Insecta; Hemiptera; Aphididae
Exons: 3
Source: RefSeq, a predicted model, not a curated record
UUUAUCUAGUCAAUAUUAUUUAAGUUAUACAUUUUUUUUAUAGUUGAUUUAAAAAUAUUAUUAAUUAUUUGUUGUCGUGAUGGGGAAAGGAAUAGCAUAUUCCGCUAUCGAAAAAAAAAUUAAUUUUAGAACUAGUUCAACAAAAUAGUGUGGUUGAAAAUAAGAAAACUGAUUCAACUAGCAUUCAUUGCAAAAAUGUAGCCUGGAAAAAAAUUACAUCAGAAUUCAACGCAAUGGGUGAUCAUCCAAAAGGAGGUUUUAUUCAUACGAAAAUAGAUCUAUACACACGUGCAAUUCACGCCAAUAGCUAAUGAUUGCGACGAGAAUGCUGUACAGUUUUUAUAUUCGUUUCGAGUUUUCUGCUGGUACGAGAUUUGAUUGUAUACACAAUAUUUCCAGAAACACAGUAUGAAAAGUGUGAAAAAUAAAAUAAAACUCUGCUUUCUGGAUGAUUGCAUAAAGUAACAGGAUAUUGUGUACUCACACAUAUUCGCACGUGCAUAUACGUGGUGACUGGUAAUCCACGAUUCGAGUAUAUUUUCGAUAUGCAAACGAGUAGAAAACUAGAAAAUUGUAUGUACACACGUAUACAGGGUUUUCCGAAAAAAACGCAAACAUUUUAAAUAACUCGCAAAGGAGUAAUAAAUAUAUAUAUAUCAAUAUCAUUUUUUUAUUGAAAACAAAAUCUCCAUUAAAGUUUUUACGAGUCCAAAAGUUAAAAAAUCAAAUUGUAUAAAAGUAUGACGUCCGUAAGAUGGUGUCCAUCAGUAAACAUGCAUUUGUAGGACAUACUAACAAGUUGUCAACCAAACUGAGAUCAUCAGUUAUCUUUUCCAUAACCGCAAUUGGUGGCCAGUGGCUUCGGCUCCUGCAAUAUUUUUUUAGGUAUUGGAAAGAGCCAUUGCACAUUGCCAGCGUUCAAUUUCGGGAAUGUAUAAUACAAAUGGAUUUCAGUUAAAGGACAUUAAUUUUAAGAUAAGAUAUUUAUAACAUUUGAACUCUUAACGGCAUAACAUUUAGUUUAUGAUUUCAAUAAUAACAUUCUGUAAUAAAAUUAUAAAAAAAAUGUAUUUAGAAUUAAAAAUGAGUAAGUGGUUAAUACUGGUAAAUGAAUAUUAUUUUUUCUUUCACUGGAAUCACAGCUCUUCAAGAGUGUUUGUCACCUACGACACUUUCUUUCACUAUUCCCGAUUUUGCACUUUUUCUUCCCAAUUUGAUAUCCCUAGUUUCUCUAAGUCCUGCUUUAUUCCAUCUACUUAUUGCUUCUUUGGACGUUCUAUUGGUCUCUUCCCUAUGGGGCUCCACACCGCUUUAAGGUAUUCUGAGUCUAAAUUAAUUAAUAAAUGCUUAGCUUGGAGUAUUGUUAUAUUUG